RNAcentral lists this ribosomal RNA (697 nucleotides) under uncultured bacterium. RNAcentral describes it as "bacterial SSU rRNA". It matches the Rfam family "Bacterial small subunit ribosomal RNA", at positions 28 to 719 of the family's 1533-position model. The record is from RNAcentral.
AUUGAACGCUGGCGGCAGGCUUAACACAUGCAAGUCGAGCGGAGAUGAGGUGCUUGCACCUUAUCUUAGCGGCGGACGGGUGAGUAAUGCUUAGGAAUCUGCCUAUUAGUGGGGGACAACAUUCCGAAAGGAAUGCUAAUACCGCAUACGUCCUACGGGAGAAAGCAGGGGAUCUUCGGACCUUGCGCUAAUAGAUGAGCCUAAGUCGGAUUAGCUAGUUGGUGGGGUAAAGGCCUACCAAGGCGACGAUCUGUAGCGGGUCUGAGAGGAUGAUCCGCCACACUGGGACUGAGACACGGCCCAGACUCCUACGGGAGGCAGCAGUGGGGAAUAUUGGACAAUGGGGGGAACCCUGAUCCAGCCAUGCCGCGUGUGUGAAGAAGGCCUUGUGGUUGUAAAGCACUUUAAGCGAGGAGGAGGCUACUGAGACUAAUACUCUUGGAUAGUGGACGUUACUCGCAGAAUAAGCACCGGCUAACUCUGUGCCAGCAGCCGCGGUAAUACAGAGGGUGCGAGCGUUAAUCGGAUUUACUGGGCGUAAAGCGUGCGUAGGCGGCUUUUUAAGUCGGAUGUGAAAUCCCCGAGCUUAACUUGGGAAUUGCAUUCGAUACUGGGAAGCUAGAGUAUGGGAGAGGAUGGUAGAAUUCCAGGUGUAGCGGUGAAAUGCGUAGAGAUCUGGAGGAAUACCGAUGGCGAA